AAAAAGACAAACCCUGAGUUUCCGUGUCUAACUUUGACUGUCCGUCUUAUAUGAAAUUUUUUUAUAAUUCGUAUUUUUAUUGUUGUUAGAUGAUAAAACAUGAUUAAUAUUUUAUGUGUGACUUGUCUUUUUAAUUUUUUUUAUAAUUUUUUUAAAUAAGAUGGAUGGUCAAACGUUGGACACGAAAAUCAGGGUU
RNAcentral lists this microRNA precursor (196 nucleotides) under Oryza glumipatula. Its description in RNAcentral is "MIR812 microRNA precursor family". It matches the Rfam family "MIR812 microRNA precursor family". Lineage: Eukaryota; Viridiplantae; Streptophyta; Magnoliopsida; Poales; Poaceae. The record is from Rfam by way of RNAcentral.